GGGGAAUAUUGGACAAUGGGCGCAAGCCUGAUCCAGCCAUGCCGCGUGAGUGAUGAAGGCCUUAGGGUUGUAAAGCUCUUUCGACGGGGACGAUGAUGACGGUACCCGUAGAAGAAGCCCCGGCUAACUUCGUGCCAGCAGCCGCGGUAAUACGAAGGGGGCUAGCGUUGUUCGGAAUUACUGGGCGUAAAGCGCACGCAGGCGGUUCGAUCAGUCAGAAGUGAAAGCCCCGGGCUCAACCUGGGAACUGCUUUUGAUACUGUCGAGCUUGAAUCACGGAGAGGGUAGUGGAAUUCCGAGUGUAGAGGUGAAAUUCGUAGAUAUUCGGAAGAACACCAGUGGCGAAGGCGACUACCUGGCCGUCGAUUGACGCUCAUGUGCGAAAGCGUGGGGAGCAAAC
Molecule: ribosomal RNA, 400 nt
Filed under: uncultured bacterium
Lineage: Bacteria
Description: bacterial SSU rRNA
Rfam family: Bacterial small subunit ribosomal RNA
Source: RNAcentral